Molecule: ribosomal RNA, 380 nt
Filed under: uncultured organism
Description: partial 16S ribosomal RNA
Rfam family: Bacterial small subunit ribosomal RNA
Source: RNAcentral
AGAGGGUGCAAGCGUUAAUCAGAAUGACUGGGCGCAAAGGGCGUGUAGGUGGUUAAUUAGGUUUGAUGUGAAAUCCCCGGGCUUAACCUGGGAAUUGCGUCGAAAACGGAUUAACUCGAGUGAGAUAGAGGGUUGUGGAAUUUCCGGUGUAGCGGUGAAAUGCGUAGAUAUCGGAAAGAACAUCAGUGGCGAAGGCGACAACCUGGAUCUUAACUGACACUGAGGCGCGAAGGCGUGGGGAGCAAACAGGGAUUAGAUACCCUGGUAGUCCACGCAGUAAACGAUGAGAACUGGCUGUGAUGUGUAGGGAGCAAUCUCUGCAUGACGUAGCGAAGCUAACGCGUUAAGUUCUCCGCCUGGGGAGUACGGCCGCAAGGUUA